Aspergillus tubingensis CBS 134.48 is the source of this 154-nucleotide small RNA. It matches the Rfam family "A. fumigatus sRNA Afu_254". The record is from Rfam. Lineage: Eukaryota; Fungi; Ascomycota; Eurotiomycetes; Eurotiales; Aspergillaceae.
GAAUAUACUUCACUUUUCUUCAAACACUUUCAUAGUAUAUAUACAUACUAUUACCCUAUCUACCACCAUGGCCCCCUGCGAGUGCAAGUGCUGCUCUGGCAGCUGCAACUCCUGCUCUUGCGCUAACUGCAAGGUGUGUACACAUCCUCGAAUA